RNAcentral lists this transfer RNA (72 nucleotides) under Camelus bactrianus (Bactrian camel). It matches the Rfam family "tRNA". From Rfam's summary of the family: Transfer RNA (tRNA) molecules are approximately 80 nucleotides in length. The record is from Rfam by way of RNAcentral. RNAcentral also lists the same sequence under 2 other names. Lineage: Eukaryota; Metazoa; Chordata; Mammalia; Artiodactyla; Camelidae.
CGUGGUAUAGCUCAGUGGUAGGGUGCAUGCUCAGUGUGCAUGAGGUCCUGGGUUCAAUGCCCAGUAUCUCCA